This 793-nucleotide long non-coding RNA is filed under the name Vulpes vulpes (red fox). Its description in RNAcentral is "lncRNA (ENSVVUG00000012381.1)". The record is from RNAcentral. Lineage: Eukaryota; Metazoa; Chordata; Mammalia; Carnivora; Canidae.
GGGACACAUAAUUAGAAGACUAAAUAUGUUAUAAAUACCAUUUACAAUAACUCUGAAGAUUAUCAAACUCCCAAGUAAAAUUUCAAAGAAAUUUGCAAUUUGCAAUUUCUUUACAUGGCAAACAAUAAAAAAUUAUUGAUAGGAAUUAAUGAAGACAUGAAUAACUGGAAUGGUAUCCGAAGUUUAUUAACAGAAGAUUCUUUUUUUCAGGUGAUCAACUUUUCCACUUUGAAGCACAUGUGUGAACCCAAGUCAAGUCCCAGCAUAUCCAAUACUUUAGUAUGUUCUAUAAAGGCAUAAAUAAAAAAUUGGGCUAAGGGGGAGAAUGAAUACGAAGUUAGAUUCCAGUUCAAACAAAAGAAGGAAAAACCUACUGUUGAAUGUUAAGAACAGUUCUGAAAAUUGUGGCUUCCUGCCCCAAAAGUUCAAGUAGAAUCUGUAGAGUACCCUGGGUGAAGAUACUCUACGGGGAAAUUAAAGUGAUUUUGACAACACCUAAGUGGUCCUCUGCACUUGGCCAUGAUCCUAUCAUACAGUUACAACAUAAAGGCAGUCUUCUGAGAAUAACAAUCCUUCAUAAGGUAUUUAUACAUGUCACAAGAAAUGGCACAACAACUCAACAGGACAACGUUAUACUUUUAAUGCUUUCUUCUAUAUACUUAGCAUAUAAAAUUUAAGAGUCACUAGAAUCCUGACCCUUAUUGUCAUUUUUCUGCUGUCAUGGGAACAGAAACCCUUAAUAUAAGAUAAACCUCCUAAUAAACAUGGCAUUUAAUCCUCUUCUAGCGGAGUA